UACGUAGGGGGCUAGCGUUGUCCGGAAUCAUUGGGCGUAAAGAGCGUGUAGGCGGUCCGGUAAGUCCGCUGUGAAAGUCGGGGGCUCAACCCUCGAAUGCCGGUGGAUACUGUCGGGCUAGAGUGCGGAAGAGGCGAGUGGAAUUCCUGGUGUAGCGGUGAAAUGCGCAGAUAUCAGGAGGAACACCGGUGGCGAAGGCGGAUCCUGCUGGCAUACUGACGUGAGGAAGCGAAGGCGUGGGAGGCGAACAGG
This 252-nucleotide ribosomal RNA is filed under the name uncultured bacterium. RNAcentral describes it as "partial 16S ribosomal RNA". It matches the Rfam family "Bacterial small subunit ribosomal RNA", at positions 524 to 776 of the family's 1533-position model. The record is from RNAcentral.